Molecule: ribosomal RNA, 466 nt
Filed under: uncultured bacterium
Lineage: Bacteria
Description: partial 16S ribosomal RNA
Rfam family: Bacterial small subunit ribosomal RNA
Source: RNAcentral
GAUGAACGCUGGCGGCGUGCUUAACACAUGCAAGUCGAACGGAAAGGCUCCUGCUUGCAGGGGUACUCGAGUGGCGAACGGGUGAGUAACACGUGGGUGAUCUGCCCUGCACUUCGGGAUAAGCCUGGGAAACUGGGUCUAAUACCGGAUAGGACGAUGGUUUGGAUGCCAUUGUGGAAAGUUUUUUCGGUGUGGGAUGAGCUCGCGGCCUAUCAGCUUGUUGGUGGGGUAAUGGCCUACCAAGGCGUCGACGGGUAGCCGGCCUGAGAGGGUGUACGGCCACAUUGGGACUGAGAUACGGCCCAGACUCCUACGGGAGGCAGCAGUGGGGAAUAUUGCACAAUGGGCGCAAGCCUGAUGCAGCGACGCCGCGUGGGGGAUGACGGCCUUCGGGUUGUAAACUCCUUUCGCUAGGGACGAAGCGCAAGUGACGGUACCUGGAGAAGAAGCACCGGCUAGCUACGUG